This 253-nucleotide ribosomal RNA is filed under the name uncultured bacterium. RNAcentral's name for it is "partial 16S ribosomal RNA". It matches the Rfam family "Bacterial small subunit ribosomal RNA", at positions 524 to 776 of the family's 1533-position model. The record is from RNAcentral.
UACGGAGGAUGCAAGCGUUAUCCGGAAUGAUUGGGCGUAAAGCGUCCGCAGGUGGCUGUGUAAGUCUGCUGUUAAAGAGUCUAGCUCAACUAGAUAAGAGCAGUGGAAACUACACGGCUAGAGUACGUUCGGGGCAGAGGGAAUUCCUGGUGUAGCGGUGAAAUGCGUAGAGAUCAGGAAGAACACCGGUGGCGAAAGCGCUCUGCUAGGCCGCAACUGACACUGAGGGACGAAAGCUAGGGGAGCGAAUGGG